GCGCCCGUAGCUCAACUGGAUAGAGUACUCGGCUACGAACCGAGCGGUUGCAAGUUCGACUCUUGCCGGGCGCA
Molecule: transfer RNA, 74 nt
Filed under: hydrothermal vent metagenome
Also listed under: 1 other name
Description: tRNA-Arg-ACG
Rfam family: tRNA
About the family: Transfer RNA (tRNA) molecules are approximately 80 nucleotides in length. Their secondary structure includes four short double-helical elements and three loops (D, anti-codon, and T loops).
Source: RNAcentral